This is a non-coding RNA of Necator americanus (New World hookworm), 46 nucleotides long. NCBI's taxonomy places the organism in Eukaryota, Metazoa, Nematoda, Chromadorea, Rhabditida, Ancylostomatidae. The record is from Rfam.
CCAACGGCCCUCCUUAGGGCCACAGUCUCUAUUGAAUACAUCAUAA